UGAUGGAAUUCCUUUUUUAUACAAGUUGUAUACUGAAGGAAGGUAUGAUGAGGGACUACAUUAAAGUUGGCUGAGUUCUAUGGAACAGUAAAAUAUUGUGACUGUCAUACAUGUACAUUAAUUAUAUAACUGAUCUUAGUGUGUCAUUGAUUUGAUAGACUCAAACAUUACUGUACAUUAUCACAAAUUAACUGUCUGAGUGAUUGUGUUUCUUUUAUCAAUACAAUAUGAAAUGUCAAAUAAAUAAUACAUAGUCAAUUAGUGGCUACUUCCUAAACCCCAUAAAAGAUCUUUAACCCGCCAUUUCUGGUUCUCAAGGCCAGACUGUCUGUCCCUUGCCCAGUAAGUAUAUUUUCAAAUAGAAGGGAAACCCCAUACUCUGUUAAUUUCGACUCUUAAGUCAAUGGAUGUGUUGAGCUUUGAAGAUGCCAGUACUUUCAAUCGAGGUGCAAGCCCAGCGCUAGGCUACGGUUAUGGUAGCUGGGUCCUGAGACAUAGCCCGGGGGUUAGGUCGAAACACAAACACACUAAAUCCAGCUUGCUGGUCGAGGUGGGGGAGGAACUGAGUAAAGGCAACUGUUGAGACAUUUGCUGAUCUUAGACUGCCACUACCACCCGAAGUCAGACACCAGUACUUUUGGAAAGCAUCCACUGAGUCCCUCCUGAGUGGGGGAGGGUUCCAUUGGAACUUUGGGUUACGCUGGUAUCCUGAGGAGUAAGAUGCAACCAUUCCUAUUUGGCAGAUUUGGGGUAGUACCUUUUGCAAUAUAUUUGUAUAGCUUUUUAAUAAGAAAAAAUUAAAUUAUAAACAUGUACAUUGUAAACUGCACCAGUAUACAUUGUAAUUGUAGUAAGAAUUAGUAGUAGUUAUCCUUUAGCACACAAGUUGAAUGAAUAUUAAGAAAAUCAUAUACAUGUACAUAUAUAUAGCUUUACAAUAGCAUCACAACAUGCGGCAAACAGUUGGGAAAGAAGCUGGUAGACUAUAGCAGUACCUUCUGGCAAGAAGAAAGUCCCCAAAAUAUCUCCUACCUCACGACCUCCACUGUGAAGAUUUGAACGUCUCAAGACGGUUUAAUGAAUCAUACAAAUGGACAAUUAUACACCCAGUCCUGCUCUUCAGCAAAAAUUGCAGCUAAGUUCAGUUUGAACUCCCUCCCCUAUCACAACUGAGAAAGACAACCCCCAAACCACAAAAGAAAAGGCCAUCCAAAGGCAGA
This is a long non-coding RNA of Amphimedon queenslandica, 1220 nucleotides long. RefSeq lists it as uncharacterized. The transcript is spliced from 2 exons. NCBI's taxonomy places the organism in Eukaryota, Metazoa, Porifera, Demospongiae, Haplosclerida, Niphatidae. The record is from RefSeq and is a predicted model, not a curated record.